CAGCAGCCACGGGAAUACGAAGGGUGCAAGCGUUACUCGGAAUUACUGGGCGUAAAGCGUGCGUAGGUGGUGGUUUAAGUCCGUUGUGAAAGCCCUGGGCUCAACCUGGGAAUUGCAGUGGAUACUGGGUCACUAGAGUGUGGUAGAGGAUAGUGGAAUUUCCGGUGUAGCAGUGAAAUGCGUAGAGAUCGGAAGGAACAUCUGUGGCGAAGGCGACUAUCUGGGCCAACACUGACACUGAGGCGCGAAAGCGUGGGGAGCGAACAGGAUUAGAUACCCCCGUAGUCCCUGUCUCUUAUAA
RNAcentral lists this ribosomal RNA (301 nucleotides) under uncultured bacterium. RNAcentral's name for it is "partial 16S ribosomal RNA". It matches the Rfam family "Bacterial small subunit ribosomal RNA", at positions 509 to 809 of the family's 1533-position model. The record is from RNAcentral.